AGUAGGAAAAAAAUUGAUUUAAUUUUGGGGUCUUUUCAUUUUAAACGAUAUGGGGUCUUUUCAUCCGCGAACCCCUUGUUUUGACAUCAACUGCGAUUCACUUUGGCGGUCCCCUCGAUUGUUUUGAUUGUUUUUUCUUGUUUUUUUUUUAUCCCGCGUCGUGUUUAUGUUUUGAUUUGAUUGAGCGGGAUGGAAUUUUACGAAAACGCAGCUGCAACUGUGCCGGAAUCCUGUCCGGAAUCGAUUCUGGAACACCGACGACCCCGACGACUCUCUCGUCAAGGUAAUGUCAGAUGAUGGCCGAUCGCGAGCAAGUUUUGAAGCACCAAAAGGAGAAUUUGCUUCCCAUCUACUCUAUGUCCACUCGUGACAAACCUCCAGUGAAAGCUAUGGAAAACCCCUUUCCCCCAAGCGGAAAUCAAUCUGCAUGCUGCAGAAGGAGGAUUAUGGAGUGUGCCAAGUAAUUGCUGCGAAUAAUUGAUAAACAGAAUAACAAUCUGUAAUCUGUUUAGUUGUGACAAAUCAUUCUGCCUGGAGGAGAUACUUUGCUGUUCAGCACAUCUGGCCUGAGUCAUCCUAUUUAUUAAACACGUUUUCUAAAUCUAUUACUUCAUCUAUACUUUUUGUCAUUGAUUGUUCAAUUAAUAAAUAAAUAGGGUGGAAAAAGGGUGAGGCCAAGGGUGGCGCAUACAUCGCAAUGAAAACAUAACCGAAAAUACCCAAAGUUACU
Molecule: long non-coding RNA, 730 nt
Organism: Aedes albopictus (Asian tiger mosquito)
Lineage: Eukaryota; Metazoa; Arthropoda; Insecta; Diptera; Culicidae
Exons: 3
Source: RefSeq, a predicted model, not a curated record